CCUGCCUGAGAGGGGGGCUGGCCGGGCUGCACUGAGAGCGCUGGGGGGCAGUACCCCCAGGCUGGCGCCUGGCCUGCGCUGAGUGGUGCAGGUCAAUUCCCACGUGGAGAACCCUGCCCAGGCUGCUGCUGGCCUCUGCCUUCUGCACACCUGGCCUGGCUCCGGGGAGGGCCCCACCACAGGGACGUAGCCUAGGGCCUGCCCAUGGCCACAGACUUGGAAAAAUAGACAGAGAACCCUCCCAUCCCCCCUUCCUCCCAAGGCAGGGAUGAGUAGCCAGAGCCCCUCCUGCCUUCUCCCAGAUAAGGCGCAGCAGCCCGAAUCCCCAUAGCCAGAGUCCUGGGACUAGCGCUCUCCCAGCCAGGGAGCAGAGCAGCCCGAGCAAGGCACCUAGCUAGGCUGGCUGCUUCCUGCCAGAUCCCUCCUCCAGCCCACGGCUACCAGCACCCCAACUACAGCCCUCCACCCAUCCAGGGCACGGAGCCACCAGAGUUACCUGGCCACCCGCGGUGGGAGGCGUCAGAGCUGGCCGGCAGCACCACAGGUCAAGCCAGUUCAUCAGGACUGGGGUUGGCUGGAUAACAGUAACUGCCCUCUGAAUCCCACGUCCAUCAGAACCUUUGAUCAGCAUCCUUUUCACAACACAAGAAACCAAAUAUGAUCCAUGGAGAUGCUGGGCUGGGCCUGCCGCUGAGGUUCAGCUUCCAGUCACUUGAUCUUGCAGUCUUUGCUAGAUUAAUAAACUGUCUACCAUCAGAAAUCUUCUCCCCAUGUAGGCAACCCUAUGUGAUAUCAGUCUCCUGAGGGUAACAGAGGCGGAAAGGAAGGAGAUGCUGCAAGUGUCUGUGUAUAGACCCAGUCCUUAUGCUGCUAUGCUGUGUAUUGCAAUGAUGCCAGCAGAAUUAAUUCAGGAGUUGCAUGGGAAAGUGUCCUACCAUGGUGGAAGAAGUAUGACUUCCCUGCCCAGGAACCUUCUGCAAAGGAUUGCAGAGUACCUCCAUGAAAGUUUCCUAGAGAUCUCCAUGGA
Molecule: long non-coding RNA, 1027 nt
Organism: Mauremys mutica (yellowpond turtle)
Lineage: Eukaryota; Metazoa; Chordata; Testudines; Geoemydidae
Exons: 4
Source: RefSeq, a predicted model, not a curated record